RNAcentral lists this transfer RNA (71 nucleotides) under Trigoniophthalmus alternatus. RNAcentral describes it as "tRNA-Gln". It matches the Rfam family "tRNA". From Rfam's summary of the family: Transfer RNA (tRNA) molecules are approximately 80 nucleotides in length. Their secondary structure includes four short double-helical elements and three loops (D, anti-codon, and T loops). Further hydrogen bonds mediate the characteristic L-shaped molecular structure. tRNAs have two regions of fundamental functional importance: the anti-codon, which is responsible for specific mRNA codon recognition, and the 3' end, to which the tRNAs corresponding amino acid is attached (by aminoacyl-tRNA synthetases). tRNAs cope with the degeneracy of the genetic code in two manners: having more than one tRNA (with a specific anti-codon) for a particular amino acid; and 'wobble' base-pairing, i.e. permitting non-standard base-pairing at the 3rd anti-codon position. The record is from RNAcentral. Lineage: Eukaryota; Metazoa; Arthropoda; Insecta; Archaeognatha; Machilidae.
UAUGUUUAAGUGUAUUUAGUACACAUUGAAUUUUGAUUUCAAGAAAACAGGUGUAAUUCCUGUAUGCAUAG